RNAcentral lists this ribosomal RNA (372 nucleotides) under uncultured bacterium. RNAcentral's name for it is "bacterial SSU rRNA". It matches the Rfam family "Bacterial small subunit ribosomal RNA", at positions 959 to 1392 of the family's 1533-position model. The record is from RNAcentral.
ACGCGAAGAACCUUACCCGGGCUUGAACUGCAGCGGAAGGAUACAGAGAUGUUGACGUCCUUCGGGACCGCUGUGGAGGUGCUGCAUGGUUGUCGUCAGCUCGUGCCGUGAGGUGUCGGCUUAAGUGCCAUAACGAGCGCAACCCUUUUCGCCAGUUGCCAUCACUUUGGGUGGGCACUCUGGCGACACUGCCACCGUAAGGUGUGAGGAAGGUGGGGAUGACGUCAAAUCAGCACGGCACGUGCAUUCAAUCAUGAAAGUCAUCCUCAGUUCGGAUUGGGGUCUGCAACCCGACCCCAUGAAGCUGGAUUCGCUAGUAAUCGCGCAUCAGCCAUGGCGCGGUGAAUACGUUCCCGGGUCUUGUACACACCG